RNAcentral lists this long non-coding RNA (468 nucleotides) under Physcomitrium patens. RNAcentral's name for it is "long non-coding RNA (PPAT_LNC011127)". The record is from RNAcentral. Lineage: Eukaryota; Viridiplantae; Streptophyta; Bryopsida; Funariales; Funariaceae.
CCAAAGACUUUAAUAUAUUGAUAGAAAGACAAGUAUGCAACUUUGUUAAAAAUGAAUAUAGUAAAUAUUUUUCUAAGGUAUGUUAGUUCUACUAACAUAGCAAAAGAUGUCUUUAAAAUUAUAAGAGAUUAAUACUAGGAUCAAAUAUAAUUCAUGAAUAUUUUGUAAAAGAUAUAUAAAAAAACCUUUCUAAUGAUUUGUUCAAAUUACAAAAACAAGCACAUAUUGAUAAAGUAUAAUCUUUUUUAUUGCAAGAUAGAGCAUUAAAAAUAUCAUGAGUCUAUUUUUGUACCACAAAUAUUUUUAAAAUAAAAUUUUAUCAACUAAAAUAGCUACUCAAUAUUUGAAUUUAUAAACUUCAAAAAGUCAUUACAACUUCUAAAUAAUGUUUGUAUCUAAGACAUGAAUAUCAAAGAAUCAAAAAAUCAAUACAUUCUUAUAAGAUUCAAAAAGACUAAGUAAUCACUC